RNAcentral lists this ribosomal RNA (253 nucleotides) under uncultured bacterium. RNAcentral describes it as "partial 16S ribosomal RNA". It matches the Rfam family "Bacterial small subunit ribosomal RNA", at positions 524 to 776 of the family's 1533-position model. The record is from RNAcentral.
UACGGAGGGUGCAAGCGUUAAUCGGAAUUACUGGGCGUAAAGCGUACGUAGGCGGUUCAAUAAGUCGGAUGUGAAAGCCCCGGGCUUAACCUGGGAAUGGCGUUUGAAACUGUCAGACUAGAGUGUGUCAGAGGGAGGUAGAAUUCCACGUGUAGCAGUGAAAUGCGUAGAGAUGUGGAGGAAUACCGAUGGCGAAGGCAGCCUCCUGGGAUAACACUGACGCUCAGGCACGAAAGCGUGGGGAGCGAACAAG